Molecule: long non-coding RNA, 1451 nt
Organism: Herpailurus yagouaroundi (jaguarundi)
Lineage: Eukaryota; Metazoa; Chordata; Mammalia; Carnivora; Felidae
Exons: 2
Source: RefSeq, a predicted model, not a curated record
GUCAAACUUUAGCCAAGAAGACACAUGCUUGGGACAAGUACAACUUGGAAUUUGUCACUAGGGCUUGGGGGUCUCUCAAAGCUCUCCCAUACAUACCUGGAACGAUGUCUCCCGACACCUGAGCAAAUGAGCCUGGGACAAAGGACAACGGAUCCAGCCAGAACUGCGCCAGGGAGGGAAGGGUGACUGAGGUCACACACAGCCUGUCGCCAUCUCUCUUAUGUACGUCCCGCGCCUGACGAUGUGGCUUCUAACAUGAAGACACAGCGGAGGGCUGCUGGCAAACAGCCUGUCAUGUAGUCAUUAGGAACAGGGACACUCCAGAGAGAAAAACAAAUUCUAAGAGACAGGCAUCUCAAGAAAACCAAGACUCUGCAAACUGCAGACACCAGCCAAGGGGCGGGUUUCACCUGGGCCCGUGUGUAAAGGGCUGCUGGCUGCCUACUGAUCUUUCCUGUCAUACCUGGGCAAGAGUGACAACAAAUCACUGUCAGCCACCCCAUCUCUGAAUGCAGUGGACGGCAGUCCAUGAGCACACCUGGGGACCUUCCUACUUAGAUUACCGGGAGGAUGAAGAGAAGAGAAAAUUGAUUUAUCGAUGCCAUGCACCCUGGACGGAAUCAACACACAGGAGUUUGACACUUAAGACCCCGAUCAAAUAGCAGUGGGAACUGCUAGUCUGGUGGCAGCGACUCCCCGAGUGACCUGGGGCAAGUCACUUUACUUCUUUGCUUCGGGGCUCCACAUCUGGAAAAAAGGGGACUGCCUUGUUCAGUGACCACAAGGGGAGACUGUGGGGCUCAGCUCAGGUGGCUAAUGAAAUCCAGGCGGGGCUUGGCCCCCUUGUGGGUGCUCUGCUGGGGCAGUCCCAGCAUCUUAGAGAUCCGCCAGAGGGUGUGAAGCAAACUCUGCCACGCUCCAACACGAGGUCCUACUAACAGGCCGUCUUUGAACAAGAUGGACGGCACAUUCACCCUCUCAGGAUAGAUUUGUGCUUGUAAAUACUUCCAAAUACACUGGAAAGGGAGCGCCACACAAACCUAAGAAAAGUGGUAAGGGUCAACUGGUGUUAGAGGAGUAUACCCCUGUGCCUCUGAAAUGGUUUACAGAGCCCGGUUCUGAUGCACACGAAAGACUCCAAGCCCAUCUCCCCACAGUAUGUGGCUUGAGGUAAUGCUUACCUGCUCUAUGUGAAGGUUGUUCUCACCUUCUGCAUUUUUGUUUUAAGUUCAGGAACACGUUAGCUGGGAAUUUCUAAGUUGUCCUGCAACCACAAAACCAGAGCAAUCUAUCCAGACCCAGCUUCUGAAACCAUGGAAGGAACCAAUCACUAGUUCUCUUUGGAAUCUAACGAAGAGGUAGUGAAAGCCCCAGGAACACAGGUUCCUCAAUCGCACUGUUAGCAGACGAAGGAUUCUUUUUUCAUGAGCAAUAAACUUUGAGACUAUGCA